AGCCUAAAGUAAUUAUUUUAGGUGAAAUCUGCUCAGUGUGUUUUAUAAAUAGCCGCGGUACUUUGACCGUGCUAAGGUAGCAUAAUAAGUUGGCUUUUAAAUGGAGUCGGGAAUGAAUGAAAAAACGUAGCUAAGCUGUCUCAAAAAUAUUUUAUCGAAUUUACUGUUUAGAUGAAAAAGUCUAUAGAAAAAUAAAAGACGAGAAGACCCUUAGAAUUUAAAUGAGGUUGGAAAGCUUUCCAAGAUAUUUUUGUUGGGGCGACAUAAAGACAAAAUAUAACUCUUUUGAAUUUAUAAGACGAUUACUUAUAAGAUCGGAUAAAUUACCUGAGGGAUAACAGCAUAAUUAUAUAAAUUAGUUUGUGACCUCGAUGUUGGACUAGGAAAUUAAUAGACUAGCCGUUUAUUAUAUUGGUUCUGUUCGAACUGUUUUUCCU
RNAcentral lists this ribosomal RNA (437 nucleotides) under Berthella cf. postrema AV-2020. RNAcentral describes it as "partial 16S ribosomal RNA". It matches the Rfam family "Bacterial large subunit ribosomal RNA", at positions 1828 to 2597 of the family's 2925-position model. Lineage: Eukaryota; Metazoa; Mollusca; Gastropoda; Pleurobranchida; Pleurobranchidae. The record is from RNAcentral.